RNAcentral lists this ribosomal RNA (228 nucleotides) under uncultured bacterium. Its description in RNAcentral is "partial 16S ribosomal RNA". It matches the Rfam family "Bacterial small subunit ribosomal RNA", at positions 568 to 795 of the family's 1533-position model. The record is from RNAcentral.
UCCGUAGGCGGGCAAUUAAGUCAGAGGUGAAAUCCCACAGCUCAACUGUGGAACUGCCUUUGAUACUGGUUGUCUUGAGUUACAGUGAAGUAGAUAGAAUAUGUAGUGUAGCGGUGAAAUGCAUAGAUAUUACAUAGAAUACCGACUGCGAAGGCAGUCUACUAACUGUAUACUGACGCUAAUGGACGAAAGCGUGGGGAGCGAACAGGAUUAGAUACCCUGGUAGUC